Long non-coding RNA from Artibeus jamaicensis (Jamaican fruit-eating bat), 356 nucleotides. RefSeq lists it as uncharacterized. The record is from RefSeq and is a predicted model, not a curated record. NCBI's taxonomy places the organism in Eukaryota, Metazoa, Chordata, Mammalia, Chiroptera, Phyllostomidae. The transcript is spliced from 3 exons.
CCCGUGUUGCUCCGGACUUCUUGCCUUACCAAGAACAUUGAAAUUCCCUAUGUAAUUACAGAGCUGUGUUCCAAGGAGAAUGAGUUCAAGCACUGUUCACCUGGUGUUCCUCAUCCCCUUCAAAGACCUCAUUUGCCAAGCCUGAGAUGUUCUCCUAUCUGACUGAACAUCUUACUGAUCACAUGAAAAGAACAUGACUCACAAGGAAUUCAAUUACAUUACAAAAAUGAUCCCCAGAGUCUUACAUUAGAAAGACGACAAUAUUUUGUAACAUGUAUGAAGAUUUCUAAGCCCAACAGAUUCUUUCAUGUACUUUCAUUUCCACAUGGACAAAAGAAAUAAUUACCAAAUAAUAC